CAGUGGCUCACUGCAAGCUCCGCCUCCUGGGUCCACGCCAUUCUCCUGCCUCAGCCUCCUGAGUAGCUGAGAGGACAGGCGCCUGCCACCACGCACGGCUAAUUUUUUUUUGUAUUUUUAGUAGAGGCGGGGUUUCACCAUGUUAGCCAGGGUGGUCUCGAUCUCCCGACCUCGUGAUCUGCCCGCCUCGGCCUCCCAAAGUGCUGGGAUUACAGGCAUGAACCACCGCCCCUGGCCAAGGAUGAAGAGAUUCUUCUAAUGCUUCGGGUUUUUACAUAAAAAGUGAGGCUUACUGAUGGUAUCUACCUCACCGAGUUAGUGUGAAGAUUAAAUUAGUCCAAACAGUUGAAUGACUAAGACUCGGAAAAAGUGGAGAGCAGGGAAGUUCAGGAGACCUAGAGGAAAAGAGAACAAUUUUCUCUCUAUGAUACUACAAUCAAUAUGGAUCAUCUGUCUCUCCUUUUGAGAUUGCAACUUUCCAGAAGAGAGAAUCUGACUGUUCCAAUCAAGUCAGCUUUUCACUCCAGGAUAAAACUGCUAUGGCCAGAGCCUGCAGACAUAUACAACUAAAGAGGAUAGUAUGCUAUCAACAGACAAAUGAUGAAGAAAAAUAGAAAAUCCUCUCCUGAGAAGACAUUACCUGCAUGGUUCUCAAGUGGAGGUGAAACUUUACAAAACGAUAAGAAAAGUAGAAGACACUUUAUUGAUAAAAUAUCCACAUUCGAAAAUAGUUGUGCUUUCAAAUCCUGGAUCUGCCAUUUACUAUCUGUGAGACUGAGACUGUGUGCAAAUGGUUUAGCCAUUUUGAACCUGUUUCCUCAUCUGUAAAAUGGGCAUGAUGAUACCUACCUACCUUACAAAGUGGCUGAGAUAGCUAAACACCAUAAGGCAAUGCUUGUUACAUGGUAACAAAUGAUGACUUUCAUUUUAUUGGGUAUUCUCAUUUUAUUGGGUAUUUCAUUUUAUUGGGUAUUCUUCCAUUCUAUUGGGUAUUUAAUCCUCGCCUCAUUCAUCAUCACCAGAAACAUUGAAAAUAUUGUCUUUCUUUUUACAUGUGAAAAAAAUUGAGUAUCAGAGAGUUCAAGAAACUUGCCUAAAUUAUACAUCAUGAAAAAUGAAAGGAUCAGAUUUGAACCCAGUCAUUGAUAGAAGUGGGGGGAAGAAAAAAUGAGAAAAUUUAAGGGGAAAGUAUAAAAUUCAGUGCUUCCGCAAGUUUCAAUAAAUAAAGAUCAUCUUGCUGCAGACAGUCAGUCCACCACUAAAACAUCUCUAGAUAUGCAUUUUGAUAGAAUUGCUGGAUAAUUCUGAUAGUUGCUCAUCAUUCAGGACUUACUCCACAAGACAUGAUUUUAAAUGAUUAAGUGCUUUGCCCAAUGUCUCAUAGAUGGUAAGUGGCUGAGGUGCAAUUCAGCUCUAGAGUCAUAUUCAUAACUACUACACUCUAGCAGCUUGUCUGAGACAGAUGGUUUUGCACCACACCUUGGGAAACAUCACGAUAAAUGACUACAGAAUGUGGAGGCUCAGAGACUAUGUCUGCUAUCAGGAGUGUGGUACCAGGCAGAACCUUUCUAAAUCACCAGGCAGAACCUUUCUAAAAUUUACAAAAUAGUUAGAUGUAAUCAAUGAAGCCAAAAACAUAAAUUAAUACCAGACACACCAUGCCCAAUAAAUAUUUGUUGAAUAAAUAUGUUUUUAUGAAACCAACAGCAAGUUUUUCAUCUUAGAUAAAAUGUUCAUUUAGCCACAGAAUCUUUGAAGCUCAGAAUUAGAAUAAAGUCACUACGACCAAUCCCUAGUUCCCUGUGAAUUCCACAGUUUCUUGCACAAUAUUUCAGGCCUGUGGUCAGCCAGUUAAACAAACUGUAGUCUCUGGCUUGUAGUUAGGAAAUAAGAGAAAAGACCAAAAACCUGACCUAUAGAGAACUAAGAGAGCUUAAAACGCCAGAACCAAAUAGACUCCUGAUUCUAGGCAGGUAUUUGAUGGGUCAGAGAGAGAGAAAUAAAUACUGCAGUAAUGAUGGCUACAAUCUCAGAAGUGAUUCUCCAGCAGCAAAAAGAUGUUUGUGGACAUAUGGGGCCAGUAUGAACCUAUUGAUUUCUCUCAUAAUCUCUUUUUAUUGCUCAUCUUUUCCUGUUAGCUCAUGCAGCCAGUGUCUCAGGGACUGCAGUUCCUCCUGGGCCUGCCAGCCUGAUCGUUGUUGAGGAACCACGAAAUAUGAAGGUCCACGUCCCCUUUAAUUGAACAAGUCCCAGUUAAUAAUGCACUAGAGAUCCUGAGAGUUGGGGCAUGCAGGAAGGAAGAGAGAAAGGCAAAAUGAGAGAGAGAGAAAAAAGAAAGAAUCCACAAAUGUCUUCCUCAUUGAGAAAGGGAAAAAGAAACUGAAAAAAAAAAAAGUCACUGUAACAAAUUCAGUCCAGGCAACAUUGGUAAUAGAUAAGACAGGAGACUACUCUUCAUUUGGCUAGCAAAUAAGCUUUUCUACUCUUCUGAGAUAGAGAUUCUCUGAUCUCAGGGAUUGCUGGAGAGAUUGCUAAUAUUUACAGUCUACUUGAUGUCCACUUGGUAGAAAAAGCAGUCUUAUACUAUAGUCAUUAAGUUACAGAAUUUGUUGCUAGAUUUCUUAUGAAAUCCAGUCACCUCCCUUUCAGUCCAGAACUUCUUUUGCUAUACCACACUAAGGUACUGAUUUAAGAUCAGUCCAUACAAUAAAAGAGCCAUAAUCUCCAGAGAAUCUUUCUUGAGAGUUAAGCUUAUUCCCAGCUUAAAAUAAACAGAGAAAUGUCAAUCAUAAUUUAUGAUGGAAAUAUCAGAUAGUUAAGUGGCAUAUAAUGCCCCUUGUUAAAAAUAAAUAGGGCACAGCGGUGCAGACCUGUAAUCCCAGCUACUCAAGGAUUGCUUGAGCCCAGGAGUUCAAGGCCAUCCUGGGCAACAACGCAAGACCCUGUUCCUAAAAAAAUAAAAUAAAAAUGAAUAAGCCAAAAGCAGUAUUUAUAAAAUGUAUUUAUUCAGCUAUUUAACAAAUAGUGCACAUUUAUUCAUUACAUAUAUAAAAGAAGUGUUCUGGAUGUGCAGAAUUCAGUGAUGACUAAAGUGAGCACAUUUCCUGCCAUUAAUUAGUCAGCAUUUAAUCUAGCCAGGUAGAGAGUUUAUGCAGACACAUACAAUACCAGGGCAUAAGUGUUAUGAAAGAGCAAGAAUAUCAAGUUUGUGGACCACAGAAAGGAAUAUCUCAGCCAAACAUGGAGACAAUUAAGGUUUUCUGGAGGCAGUGUUUCCUAAGUUAUAACCAUGAGUUAGUCAGACAAAGAGAGUGUGGAAAAGCAUUCAAAGCACAAGGAACAACAUAAACACAGACUAUGGCAUAUUUAAGAAAGUACAAAAUAAGACCAAAUCAUUCAAGUUGUAGUAUAUGAUACUAUGAUAAAAACUUUGAGAGAAGUAGAGUAGUAGCCAGAGAUGAGAACAUGGAAUUCCUUACAAGUCCUAUACAGUAUCAUCUUUAUAACAACAGAAUUAAAGGACUCUUGCAGAUUAUUAGAGCUUAAUUUUUGUAUUGUGUGACACUCCCCCAAGUUGCUCAAUGUUUCAGAACUUUUAGUUACUGUUUUGCAUUCUGAUUUGAACUCCUUCACUGAAAUUUCUUCCUCUGUGUUUUAGGUUAUCACAGAACGCACAAAACUGACAUACUUCUUUAUUCAUACCUUAACAUCUUCUAUAAAUCUGACUCCACUUUAUUUCCCUGGUGGAACUUCUGUUACUCUUUCCCUGAGAAGUCAGGAUGUGUUACCUUCCUGCCAAUGUUGUAUGACAAUAUGCUUGGAGGACUGCCAAAAACGGAAGCUCACUAAGGCUCCUUGUUCAGAAUUUUGACUGGGACUGCAUGAUGUAGAUAGGAUUGACUGAUUGAUUGCCCAUGUGGUUGAUCUCAGUCUACAGGUUGACUGAUAGUGCAUGAUCCAAAGCCCUCACCUCAGGUAACAUUAUUGGUUUUCCUGGCAUGACUAGCCCCAGCCCUAAAUUCUGGCCAGGCCUCACCCUAAAUCGUAUUGUUAGACCAUUUAGUGUAACCCACAGCCACCAUGCAAAGAAAGAAACUCUUUUUAGGCAUGGCAUUCUUAGAGAUUACCUUCCAGAAGCUCAAGUUAAAGUGCUUCCUAAACAUUUGACUUACCUUUAUCUGUGAGAAUGCCUCAGGACUGUUUCCCUCUUGAAUGUGCAACUCUACCUAUUUUGAAUGGCAAACGCCCAGUUACAGAAUCUUCAACUGCGCCGAAGGACAGCUAAAAUACUGCCUGAAAGAACAAUGGCCAAGGCCGGGCGCGGCGGCUCACGCCUGCGAUCCCAGCACUUUGGGAGGCGGAGGCGGG
Molecule: long non-coding RNA, 4368 nt
Filed under: Homo sapiens (human)
Lineage: Eukaryota; Metazoa; Chordata; Mammalia; Primates; Hominidae
Description: HSALNT0154658
Source: RNAcentral